This 388-nucleotide ribosomal RNA is filed under the name uncultured bacterium. RNAcentral describes it as "bacterial SSU rRNA". It matches the Rfam family "Bacterial small subunit ribosomal RNA", at positions 97 to 520 of the family's 1533-position model. The record is from RNAcentral.
GGCAGACGGGUGAGUAACGCGUGGGAACCUGCCCUGUGGUAGGGAAUAACCGUGGGAAACUGCGGCUAAUACCCUAUGUGUCCUGAGGGAGAAAGAUUUAUCGCCAUAGGAGGGGCCCGCGUCGGAUUAGGUAGUUGGUGGGGUAACGGCCUACCAAGCCAUCGAUCCGUAGCUGGUCUGAGAGGAUGAUCAGCCACACUGGGACUGAGAUACGGCCCAGACUCCUACGGGAGGCAGCAGUGGGGAAUAUUGGACAAUGGGGGCAACCCUGAUCCAGCAAUGCCGCGUGGGUGAUGAAGGCCUUCGGGUUGUAAAGCCCUUUCGGCGGGGAAGAUGAUGACGGUACCCGCAGAAGAAGCCCCGGCUAACUUCGUGCCAGCCGCCGCGG